GAUAACUACUGGAAACGGUAGCUAAUACCGCAUAACGUCGCAAGACCAAAGAGGGGGACCUUCGGGCCUCUUGCCAUCGGAUGUGCCCAGAUGGGAUUAGCUAGUAGGUGGGGUAACGGCUCACCUAGGCGACGAUCCCUAGCUGGUCUGAGAGGAUGACCAGCCACACUGGAACUGAGACACGGUCCAGACUCCUACGGGAGGCAGCAGUGGGGAAUAUUGCACAAUGGGCGCAAGCCUGAUGCAGCCAUGCCGCGUGUAUGAAGAAGGCCUUCGGGUUGUAAAGUACUUUCAGCGGGGAGGAAGGGAGUAAAGUUAAUACCUUUGCUCAUUGACGUUACCCGCAGAAGAAGCACCGGCUAACUCCGUGCCAGCAGCCGCGGUAAUACGGAGGGUGCAAGCGUUAAUCGGAAUUACUGGGCGUAAAGCGCACGCAGGCGGUUUGUUAAGUCAGAUGUGAAAUCCCCGGGCUCAACCUGGGAACUGCAUCUGAUACUGGCAAGCUUGAGUCUCGUAGAGGGGGGUAGAAUUCCAGGUGUAGCGGUGAAAUGCGU
This 554-nucleotide ribosomal RNA is filed under the name bacterium endosymbiont of Onthophagus Taurus. RNAcentral describes it as "bacterial SSU rRNA". It matches the Rfam family "Bacterial small subunit ribosomal RNA", at positions 142 to 691 of the family's 1533-position model. The record is from RNAcentral.